UCGAUCCAUCCCCCGACGCAGACAUCGACCAAGAUCGAAAGAGCCAACUGGUCGACCAUGGCGAGGUCUGGUGCUCGGCGGAUCGUUGCGGCGGCGAUAGUGCUGCUGCUGCUGCUGCUGCUGCUGCUGCUGCUGACCACGGUGUCACCAGCAUCAGCAUCAGGAGCAGCAGGUGUCGAUUCAGCAACGACAGCACCGGCCAAGGUGUGGCGGCUCCCUCCAAGAUUCCCUACAGAGUCCUCCCCGGUGCCAAGGCCCCCUUCUUCGUCGUCGUGGAAGGCGGUGAAAUCAUCUCUUCCUCCUCACCACCGCCUCCCCACGGAGCCGCCGUCGGAAAAGCGUACGUAAGAUGAUAUACCUAAUUAGUAAUGCAUGUAGCAGCAAAGCAUGCGGCGGCACAAGAAUGUGGAUGCAUGGUGCUGCCCUUGAUCUAUCUGUCUGUGUGAGUGUGGGUUGACGUACGUCGUCGUUCUGUUGCAUUUAAUAUGUACCAAGGAGUCGCUUCGUGUACCAAGAUGAAUAAAAUGAUAAUGAU
Long non-coding RNA from Triticum aestivum (bread wheat), 535 nucleotides. RefSeq lists it as uncharacterized. Lineage: Eukaryota; Viridiplantae; Streptophyta; Magnoliopsida; Poales; Poaceae. The transcript has a single exon. The record is from RefSeq and is a predicted model, not a curated record.